Long non-coding RNA from Oxyura jamaicensis (ruddy duck), 1058 nucleotides. RefSeq lists it as uncharacterized. NCBI's taxonomy places the organism in Eukaryota, Metazoa, Chordata, Aves, Anseriformes, Anatidae. The record is from RefSeq and is a predicted model, not a curated record. The transcript is spliced from 3 exons.
CAGUUGCUUUUUAACAAACAUCUCUUAAUUAGUUCUGAUCAUUUAAUGUAAAGGUACUCCAGAGGAGAAAAAACCUUUUUAAUCCAUUCCCAGAACAAAAGGUGUAAGCAAGUUGCCAUCACCUGUAGUUUGUUGGACUAUAUAGUAGUGGUGGUGAUGUGUUUGCAUUUGACUAAAUUUUCAGUAUUGUCAUUGGCUGUUUUCCCCUGUUAAUCUUUUCAUGAAGUACAAAAUAAAUCUAGCCUUACAUACACAAUCACUUCAUAAAAGAGCAAAGAAAACUUCAGUUGUGAAAGAAGAACAAAUAUGCUGAAAUCCUUUGAAGUCCUUCCCCACAGCCCCAGAUCUCCAUUGUAAUGAAGCUCCCAUCAUUCGUUUGUCCGCCCAUGUUAAUAUUUCCUUUUCUUCCUGUUUCCAUUCUAGCUGGGAGAUAUGAAGGGGCAGAAGAAAAGGACAAGUGCCAGAAGAAGAGGAACCUGGAGGAGAGCCAGGAAAGACAGCUAUAAAGAUAUUUCUGUUUGAGGCUUAAGAAGCAGCAGAUCAAGAAUGACCCAGUUUAGGAGCUUUCCCGUCAGAGAAAUGAUUGGUUGAUGACAGUGUCUGCCUGGGAUGAUGCUUGGUCAGGAUUAAGCCUGAAUGCACUCAAGAAAUCCGCUGCAAUCCAGAUGGUUUGAUGCUGAGGGAUGAGCACCACUGGGAAUGCCACGUACUGAAGCUGAUCAGGGACUGGCACUCAGGAGACUGUGGUUAUAUUCCUGGUUUUGCAUACGUGUAGAGGGGCUCCCUUUGGAAAUUUGGUGACACAUCUGCUGCCUUCGGAGUUGAAAUUCUUCUAAAUGCUUGCCUGGUUCAGCCUGAUUCACCUGAACUUUCCCUAGAUCAGGUAAGAACAAUUAAUUGUUUUUAAGGAUUAAUGGUCUCUUGUCAGAUGAAUGAGCUUCUGUUGAAACGCUGCGUAUUGAAAACACAAGGCCAUGGCUAUCUGCAUUUAUAAUACAGCUGUUGUCUUGAGGGAAUAACUCCUAUUCUCUAGCUAAAGCUUGAAGACUUUGAGAGAC